RNAcentral lists this ribosomal RNA (531 nucleotides) under Penicillium griseofulvum. RNAcentral's name for it is "eukaryotic LSU rRNA". The stretch from base 197 to 349 matches the Rfam family "5.8S ribosomal RNA". Lineage: Eukaryota; Fungi; Ascomycota; Eurotiomycetes; Eurotiales; Aspergillaceae. The record is from RNAcentral.
ACCUGCGGAAGGAUCAUUACGUGAGCUGAGGGCCCUCUGGGUCCAACCUCCCACCCGUGUUUAUUUACCUUGUUGCUUCGGCGGGCCCGCCUUAACUGGCCGCCGGGGGGCUUACGCCCCCGGGCCCGCGCCCGCCGAAGACACCCUCGAACUCUGUCUGAAGAUUGUAGUCUGAGUGAAAAUAUAAAUUAUUUAAAACUUUCAACAACGGAUCUCUUGGUUCCGGCAUCGAUGAAGAACGCAGCGAAAUGCGAUACGUAAUGUGAAUUGCAAAUUCAGUGAAUCAUCGAGUCUUUGAACGCACAUUGCGCCCCCUGGUAUUCCGGGGGGCAUGCCUGUCCGAGCGUCAUUGCUGCCCUCAAGCACGGCUUGUGUGUUGGGCCCCGUCCUCCGAUUCCGGGGGACGGGCCCGAAAGGCAGCGGCGGCACCGCGUCCGGUCCUCGAGCGUAUGGGGCUUUGUCACCCGCUCUGUAGGCCCGGCCGGCGCUUGCCGAUCAACCCAAAUUUUUAUCCAGGUUGACCUCGGAUCA